GGUGAGGUGGAUGAGUGGCUGAAAUCAACGGUUUGCUAAACCGUCGUACGGGUCAAACCGUACCGGGGUUCGAAUCCCCCUCACCG
RNAcentral lists this transfer RNA (86 nucleotides) under Bacteroidota bacterium. It matches the Rfam family "tRNA". Rfam says of the family: Transfer RNA (tRNA) molecules are approximately 80 nucleotides in length. Their secondary structure includes four short double-helical elements and three loops (D, anti-codon, and T loops). Further hydrogen bonds mediate the characteristic L-shaped molecular structure. tRNAs have two regions of fundamental functional importance: the anti-codon, which is responsible for specific mRNA codon recognition, and the 3' end, to which the tRNAs corresponding amino acid is attached (by aminoacyl-tRNA synthetases). tRNAs cope with the degeneracy of the genetic code in two manners: having more than one tRNA (with a specific anti-codon) for a particular amino acid; and 'wobble' base-pairing, i.e. permitting non-standard base-pairing at the 3rd anti-codon position. Lineage: Bacteria; Pseudomonadati; Bacteroidota. The record is from Rfam by way of RNAcentral.